AUGGCUCAGAUUGAACGCUGGCGGCAGGCCUAACACAUGCAAGUCGAGCGGUAGAGAGAAGCUUGCUUCUCUUGAGAGCGGCGGACGGGUGAGUAAUGCCUAGGAAUCUGCCUGGUAGUGGGGGAUAACGUUCGGAAACGGACGCUAAUACCGCAUACGUCCUACGGGAGAAAGCAGGGGACCUUCGGGCCUUGCGCUAUCAGAUGAGCCUAGGUCGGAUUAGCUAGUUGGUGAGGUAAUGGCUCACCAAGGCGACGAUCCGUAACUGGUCUGAGAGGAUGAUCAGUCACACUGGAACUGAGACACGGUCCAGACUCCUACGGGAGGCAGCAGUGGGGAAUAUUGGACAAUGGGCGAAAGCCUGAUCCAGCCAUGCCGCGUGUGUGAAGAAGGUCUUCGGAUUGUAAAGCACUUUAAGUUGGGAGGAAGGGUUGUAGAUUAAUACUCUCAAUUUGGUCAC
This 460-nucleotide ribosomal RNA is filed under the name Pseudomonas sp. BR-Subra-67. RNAcentral's name for it is "bacterial SSU rRNA". It matches the Rfam family "Bacterial small subunit ribosomal RNA", at positions 19 to 476 of the family's 1533-position model. The record is from RNAcentral. Lineage: Bacteria; Pseudomonadati; Pseudomonadota; Gammaproteobacteria; Pseudomonadales; Pseudomonadaceae.